RNAcentral lists this long non-coding RNA (310 nucleotides) under Prunus persica (peach). RNAcentral's name for it is "long non-coding RNA (PPER_LNC002893)". Lineage: Eukaryota; Viridiplantae; Streptophyta; Magnoliopsida; Rosales; Rosaceae. The record is from RNAcentral.
CAAACCCUAGGAGAGCGAAGAUGAAGUACAAUCCAAGAGUGACCAGCUCUCGCCGCAAGAACCGAAAGGCUCAUUUCACGGCGCCGUCGAGCGUCCGCCGUGUGUUGAUGAGCUCUCCUAUCUCGUCAGACCUCCGGUCCAAGUACAAUGUCCGGUCCAUGCCGGUUCGCAAGGAUGACGAGGUUCAGGUGGUGCGUGGGACCUACAAGGGUCGCGAGGGCAAGGUAGUCCAGGUUUACAGGCGCAAAUGGGUCAUCCACAUAGAGCGCAUCACCAGGGAGAAGGUCAAUGGGUCGACGGUGAACGUGGG